This 9303-nucleotide long non-coding RNA is filed under the name Nicotiana benthamiana. RNAcentral describes it as "long non-coding RNA (NBEN_LNC016014)". The record is from RNAcentral. Lineage: Eukaryota; Viridiplantae; Streptophyta; Magnoliopsida; Solanales; Solanaceae.
AAAAAAAAAAAAAAAAAAAGAGACGAAAAAAACUACACGAAAAAAGACUGAAAAAAUACAAAAAAAAGGAGGCCAAACAAAUCUGGAAAAAAGGAUCCACUAUUCUGCUUCUUCUUUAAUAAAAAAUUCAAACGAACGACCCUUCCAUUUCUGAAAGCCAACAACGCGCCAUUUCUGAUUCAUUACUAACACACACAGGCACAAGACGGGAAAAUCAAACACAGUCGUUUCCUUCAUCUUCAAAUCCUUCUCUCUCUCUCUCUCUCUCUCUCUCUCUCUCUCUCUCGUUUUUCUAGUCUCAUCUCCAUCACCGGCGAGAUUCGCCUAAAGCCGGUGAAAAUUGACCCCCGUAACCUAUCAGUUACCCUUCGAUUCUCUGAGUUUCGGAACUAAGUAUACACAAAGCUUCAGUUCUUCCUCAAUCGGAAUUCAUGGAGGCAAGCCGCUUGAUUUUCAUUUGAGCCGAGGUUAUUUUCGGUUCGAGUUUCCGUCGAGGUCCCAUUCGAGGUCGUUGUUCUUCGUUUCCGUUCGAGGUUCUGUCAGGCUCUAAAUCAGUGACGUUGGUUCAUUGUCGAGAUAAAUGAAAUCAUCUGAUCCCUUGUUAUGGAAGCUAUGUAUGUAAUGGAUGUGAGGUCAUUGUCACUUAUAUGCUAAUGGGAGGAUUAUCAUUUAAUUUAUCAAACUUAGAGGAUGCUUCAGGUAUUGACUCCUCUUAAAAUCCCCUGCUUCUUCAUUUUUGGUUCGUAAAACUGGAUCAGUGAAGUUCACCUCUUUUCCUCAUCAUAAUUUCCUUCACAUCGUUUUGAAUACUUGAUGUCCAUAAUAUGUUGUCAAAUACCAUUUGUUUUAGACUGUUUAAAUGCCGAUUUAGAGUAAUCUGUUUUUACGACUAUUGUGGAUAUGAUAUAAUUAAUAUAAUCGGCCUUGUAAUUUGUGUGUGAGAUUGUGAUAAACUUGCUUGAAUUGGAAAUACUAUAUGUUGGUCCAAAAAAAGAAACAUAAUGUCAUAAUUAAUUUGUAGCAUUUUGUUUGGAUUAGAAAUUGGGAGUUGCAAUUUAAAUAGAACGUGUGAUAAUGGGUUUUGUACUAGGCAUUACACGAAAAAAUGAAUCUCGUAGUCUGCUAAUAAAUUUGAGGUGCGCCAUGCCAAAUAAAAAUAUCAAUUGCGUGGCCUUUAUUUUAAUUAUGUAUUGAUCCUUAGAAUUCAAGGCGAGUCGUUUAGUUAAAUUCCACGGCCCUCGCAAAGUACAAAUACGUUAGUCUCUUUAGGCGCGUAUUUUAAUAAUAUUACCUUCCUAAACUCGGGUGCGCAUUUAUAUGACCCAAAUCCAAAUCUCAAAGAAGUCGAAAUGUGUCAACAACCACGGGUGCAUUGAUGUGACGUGGUUCGAGACACGUUUUCACGAUGUUGCAAUUCUCGUUAAAAAUAAUAAUAAAAGCGGUUUAAGGUUAAAAAGAAUAAGAGCUAAAACAUGUUUUGAAAUCAGAUAAAUCAAAAUAUAACAGUUGAGCGACCGUGCUAGAACCACGGAACCCGGGAAUGCCUAACACCUUCUCCCGGGUUAACAGAAUUUCAUACUCGGAUUUCUGGUUCGCGGACUGUUUAACAGAGUCAUAUUUUCCUCUGUUCGGGAUUCAACUGGUGACUUGGUACACCAUUAAUCUCCCAAGUGGCGACUCUAAUAAUUAAUAAUAAAUUCCGUUCUGAUUGUCCUUUAAGUGGAAAAACUCCUUUAUACCCAUGCAGGUGUAGUAAAAAAGGAGGUGUGACAGGUGUUGCCAUAGGUUCUACUCCAUACACCAUAUUUUGUAAUGCUUUAUACGUUGGGUUUGGUAUAAUGUUGAUAUAGGAAGAUAGAGUGAUUACUUAUGCAUCACGGAAAUUGAAGCCUCAUCAGAAGAAUUAUUCAGUUCAGAUUUGGAGUAGUAGCGAUUAUGCACGCACUCAAGAUUUGGAGGCAUUACUUGUAAGGUGUUUCAUGUGAGGUUUAUACUGAUCAUCAUAGACUUCAGCAUCUAUUCAAGCAGAAAGAUCUGGAUUUGAGGUAGCGGAUGGGGCGAGAGUUACUUAAGCAUAUGAUAUCACUAUCUUCUACUAUCUUGGUAAGGAAAAUAUGGUGGCGACUGCUUGAGUAGAAAAGUAAAGAGUAUGGGGAGUUUGGCAUUAAUUCUUUCUGAGGAGAGGCUUUGGACUGUGGAUGUUCAGGCCUUGGCCAAUAAAUUUGUAAGAGUGGAUAUUUCUGAGCCUAGUAUAGUUUUUGCUUGUGUUGUUGCCCACUCAUCCUUGUUUGAGCGCAUUAAGGGUCGUCAGUAUGAUGACCCCCAUUUUUAGUGCUUAAGGACACAGUGCAUCGAGGCGGUGCUAAGAAGGUGGUUAUUGGAGAAGAUGAUGUUAUGAAACUUUAGGCCGACUUUGUGUUCCUAAUAUUGAUUGCUUGAGGGCGUUGACACUUUAGGAGGCUCACAGGUUGUAAUGUUCUAACCAUUUAAGUGCUACAAAGAUAUAUCAUAACUUGAAUCAAGACUAUUGGUAGCGAACGAUGAAAAAAGACAUUGUUGGUCAUGUUUCACAGUGUUUGAAUUGCCAUCAAGUUAAGUAUAAACAUUGACUUAAAAGAUGGUUACACCAAAGAGGAAGUGGAAGCAUAUGACUAUGAACUUUGUGAUUGGUUUACCAUGCACCUUGAGGAAGUUUUAUUCUUCUGGGUCAUUAUGGGUAUGUUGACCAAGUACGUGCACUUUAUACCAGUGUUGACUACUUACACUUCAGAGAGGUUGUCUUAGAUUUACAUCAUCAUUUCUCUUCUGCAGUCUCUAGGGAAAAGGUGGUGGUCUUCUCGGGACCUCCACUGGCUCUGGAUUUUCAGCAUUCAUCUCUGGCUCCUUUGUCGCUUUAGGGAUCAACUCUCCCUCAGGUACAGGCUUAUCUUUCCUUUUCUUGGGAACUUCCUCAAGUUCUCUUCCAUUACGAAGUGUAACAACAUUCACUUGUGGAUUAUUCUCUGUGUCACUGGGGAGGGCCUGCAGGUCUAGUAUUUUGGUUUGUGGCCAGUUGCCCCAGCUGCCUCUCAAGAUUUCUGAAAUCCGUUCUCAGGUGCUGAUUAUCAUUCCUCAUCUGUUGAUUUUCAGUCCUUAUUUGUUGAGUGUCAUUCAACAACUUUUCAACAAAUCAUUGGUACUUUCUUACAUCUGUUGAGGUGGCUUUUGAUGAUGGUUGAAACCCCCUUAUGGUCUGAGCUGAUUCUGACCCUGCUGAUUUCCACCUAUGAGAAGUUGGGAUGAUUUAUCCAAUUAGGAUUGUACGAGUUUCCAUACUGCGCAUGCUGAUUUGGUGGCCCUCUGUUCUGUUGUCCCACAUAGUAGAUCGAUUCUGGAUUUGUGGGGCACAUGUCACUCCUAUGAUUAUCUCCACACAGCUCGCAUCAAACAUCCAUUUGGUUUACAUGUUGCAUUGGUUGUGGUUGAUCUAUUGCCAUUCUUGUCAUCUGAUUUGACAACUUUUCCAGUUCUGCUCUCAAGGCUAAAAUCGCAUCUAGUUCAAGUACCCAUGCUGCUUUCUACUUGAUUGCUCGUUGUGAAUCACCAUCACCCUGCCAGUUGUUAUCAUUAGCUGUAAAAGUAUUGAGCAAGGGUUGGAUUUCACUAUAUGGCCUAGCCAUGCAACUAACCCCGCAUUUUGAGUCUAAAUUCAUUUUUGAAGCAUCGUCCAACCCAUCUACAAAAGCAUGCCCCAACACCUCAUUGGUCUGACAGUGAUGAGGACAGUCUCUGAGCAUCUUCUUGUAUCUUUCCUAUGCCUGACGAAGUGUCUCACCAGCUUGCUGUUCGAACACAAGAAUUUGACUCCUCAACACUUUUGGCUUCCUGGUGGGGAAGAACUUGAUUAAAAACUUCCUAGCCAGAUCAUCCCAAGUGCGGAUUGAAUUUGCAGGCUCUUUGUUCAACCACUCCUUAGCGUCCCCAAUAAGUGAAAACGAGAACAAUGUCAACCUAACAUAAUCCUUGGGGACGUUCGGAUAGUUGUAUGUAUCAGUGAUUUCCAAGAAGUUCUGAAUGUGCCGCUGUGGGUCUUCAUGAGGUAGACCCAUAAAAAGCCCUGCAUUUUGAAUCAGCUGCACCAUAUACUGUUUCAGCUCAAAGUGCCCAGUUAUGUCAGGCUUCACAGUUGCCUGAGUCAUAUUUGCCAAACUAGGCCUUGCGGCUUCAAUAACUGCCCGUUCAUCACUGCGUGCCAUCUCAAUUGGCUGUGGUUGAACUACUAUAUCCAACUCUCGUUCAAUUCUGGUCCUAACGUCCACCUCCCUCCUCAACCUGUGAAGUGUCCGUUCAAUUUCUGGAUCGAGAGGAAGGAGAUUGUUUGCACUUCUAUUCAAUAGAAAAUCCUGUAUUAGCACAAACAAGGUGAAAUGAUAGUUAAUCUCAAAUAAACAAAUAAUAUAAGCUCAAAUUCAGUCAAAUAGCUAAUUUCUAAGUCCUCGGCAACGGCGCCAAAAACUUGUUGCGAUCAAAACAAUCACGCAAGUGCACGUGAUCGUCAAGUAAUAGAGUAGUGAGUAGAGUAUCGUUCCCACUAAGACUUAUGAUUAGCUUGUGACUGAUUCAAACCCAAUAUCUUUAUCUAUCCAAGAAUUUUAUCACAAAAGAGAUUUGAAUGUAUUCCUAACUAACUUCUAACAUUUUAAUCUAGCUAAAGAAAUUAACUAAACAAGCAGCAAUUUCUGUUAACAAACAAUAAAGGAGGAUAUUCUAGGGUCACGGGCAUAUGUAACAAUCGCGUUAUGUCCUCAGCUUCAAACGACUAAUUCAGUUAUCUGGGUUAUUGAUUGACAAGUUUAAUAAUACUCGUAAAAAUCUUUCGAGUUCUACUCGCCUAUUCAAGUUAACUCAAUGCCUAUAUGUCUAUGGAAUCAAGAUUAACAAAAAUGCAUGUAAAACUCAUAUAUUUCAACCAAGCAAGGCAAUUGGGUAUAUGUCUAUCCCAAUUGCGAAUCCGUCCCCCGAUGCCCAGGUUCAAGAACUUGCUCUAUUUAAUUCUAUAUGCAAUCUAAAGUUCCCACUUUCAAGUUCAACUAAGAUUCAUAGAUAGUACUUCACUGUUAGCUACUCAGCAAAAUAAUUAAAAUUAGAACUAAAUAAAUAACCCAAUAUGAUAAGCCGACUUCGUCGAAUCAAACUUCAAACAACAACAUUCAUGUUUUACCCAUGACCCUAGAACAAUGAGUUCUAGCCACUCAUACUAUUGUUCAACANNNNNNNNNNNNNNNNNNNNNNNNNNNNNNNNNNNNNNNNNNNNNNNNNNNNNNNNNNNNNNNNNNNNNNNNNNNNNNNNNNNNNNNNNNNNNNNNNNNNNNNNNNNNNNNNNNNNNNNNNNNNNNNNNNNNNNNNNNNNNNNNNNNNNNNNNNNNNNNNNNUGCAAAACCUUAUGAAAAACCUUGAUAAUUUGACCUUGGGCGAGCUUGACUUUAUAUAGGUUAAGUGGACUUUUCCCCAGAUUUUCAUAUUUGCCCCUGACUAUCCCUCACGUUUUCCGGAUAUGCGCGGGCGUGCAUUGGGCUGCGCAUGUCCCCACUCCCUGUCAUGGACGCGCAUCCCGUGCGUGGGCGCGCAUGCCCAGGUAUUAAUCUUCCUCAUUUUCUUGAGUUCUCUUCAAUCCUAUUUAGUCCCGAGGGGUCUCAAUUGCUCCUGAAUGAUUCCAAUCAACGUUUUCUUGCGCAAAAUAGGCUCCUUAACCUACAAUAAGUACAAUUCACUAUUAGAGUCCAUCUUUCAUCAAUUACUCAUAGUAUACAAUUGGAAUAUAAUAAGUAGAGGCAUAAACAAUGGCUAAAUCACCCAGAUUUCGCCUAUUAUCAGCCUUGGAUAAUGAGAGAACCUUGAGAAAGUAUUUUUAGGUGUCUAGGUUCUGAAAAUAAUAAAUACUAUUGAGUUAAAACGGGUUUGAGAUGUCUUAUACGUAUCAAUAUAUCUCAACCGCCAUUGUGGAUCCCAUAGAGAGCUGUUUGGUGCAGUCUCGCAAAAAUACAAAUAUCUCUCUACUACGAUAUUGUAUCGCCGAAUAAUUUAAUGCGUUAGAAAAUAAACUCACAUAUAUUCAAUUUUAUAGGUAGAUCACCCAAUAAUUCAAAGCAAAAUGGGAGAAAAUCGCACCUACAUUUGACCUAAUUUUCAGCAUAUUUAUGAAUGUAACUUGUGAUGAUUGCCAACUUUUGUUCCACAACUUGCUUGAUUUAAAAACAUAACACACGAUUAUCAUAUAUUUAUAAUAACUCAUAACAUAAACUCCUUAUCUUGUUAAGCACCCUAGUCUCAUCACAAAAGUACACGUUAUAACAUUCCCAACUUGUCGAUAUUCGACGAAACUUAUUUUCUUCAAUUUGCUUAGCUUCUUAGCUUUCAAUCGUCUUGGUACUUGUUAUCCAUGAUCUUAGAGAUUUAUAAUCUGCAAGAUAACAUGAUUAACUUACUUUAUGUACUCUCAAAGAUGAUUUCAUUACUGAGCUUACAUCAAUUGACUUACGAAUACUCUUUCGUGUGAAGAUAUGGGGUGUAACAGGUUAACCCAUUUUUUAUCUGUAUUAAAUAUGGGCCGGGUCGAAUAAUUUAUCUAUUUUUUGCAUUAACUCGCUUUCGACCUGUCCAUAUCCGACCCGCCCCGUCCGUUUGCCACUCCUAGCUAUUGGUGGACCUUAUAGUUUGUUCUUUUGCUGCUACAAAGAGCACCUAUUUUAGGUUGGAGGAUAUUUUAGAUCAAAUUUUUUCGUAAAAUUUAAAAAGAUAUUUUUGUAUAAAUUCUUCAAAUAAAGACAAAUAUUAACCGCGGGCAUUGAAGUAUCCUAUUUGCGCAAAUCUCCCAGGAAAUUACAACUGCAAAUUUUUUUCUUAUCUUGAGGAAAAUAUUACAAGGACAAAGAAAAAUAAUAAAAGAAGCAUCAAAAUUAGAAUUGUGGUUCUUAACCAAAAAAGAUGCAAAAGAAUUAUAGACAAUUAGAGUACGAAGCUGCACAACGAAGGGCCUAUCGGUAAUGCAUACUUGAUGGAAUAAUUAUGGUGUGCGCAAAUUGAACAAACGCCACUUCAAUACAAAGAAGAAACUUCUUAGUGCCAAGAAUGGGAUAUAAUACGUGAAUAGAGGAACUCAUUCCACGUGUCAGGCAAUCCGGGAAGGCACCAAUGAAUACAAUCAGAGUAUGUUGCUGGAUCAGCUUGCUGCUCCGGCGUCAGCGUUUUCCCAUACCGAGUGAUGUAGACAGAGGUGUGUGCAUCUUUCCUAUACUCCGAUAGAGAGGUAAUAUUGAGGAAGUCAACAGAGACAUUGAUGGACUGACUAACAUUUGGUGCUAUUACAAAUAGCCUCUUGUCUGUUCCAACAUUUAGCGGCAUUGAUGUGUUUAAUACUGGGGUUGUCUCUUUUGCACAUUUUAUCCCUUCUGGAUUGCCCCAAUCCGAACUCCUGUAAGUGGUUAACCAAGAAAACAUUCAAAGCAUUGUCAUAGUUGGACCUAGAGUUCGGUUGGCUCCUUAAAAAUAAGCACUGGCUAGUUAGUUUUUAAACUGAUCAAUAAAAAAUAACUAGUAUUUACAAAGUUAUUAAAAAGUAGCUACUAUUUUACCGCAACACAGAAAGUUCCAGCAUAAUAUACUGGAAAUCAUUGCACCUCAAUAUAUUAUGCUGGGUCAGUAUGUUAUACUGGAAUUCCAAUACAAUAUACUGGAGUUCCAAUAUACUUAUGCUGGAGUAUUUUUCCGGAUCUUGAAUAGUGUUUUCGUUCAGUUUUAUCUUUAUAUAAAAAGUGGCUAAAUUUCGAUUACUUUUGAAACUGUGGCUAUUUUUGAAUGACAAUUUGUAAAUCUGGCUAUUUUUGAAUUUCUCCCAAAAAUAGCUGAUAGACAUUAAAUGUUAAAAUAAAACUUUAGGUGUUGAAAUUGAUUUAUUUUACAUAUAUUUAAUAUAAAAGUAAUAAAAUUGAUAAUAACUACUUCGGAUGGUAGAAAGUAAAUAAAUAGUUUUUUUUCUAUUAAAAUUAUUAUAAUAUCCCUAAAGUUUGUUUACAAAAAUAUAUAAUUCAAAAAUAUCUUUAACUUAAAAGCAUAGAAUGACAAAACAUGAAAUGACGAGGGAGUUAGCGAUUUUGUUUUGAAAAUGGUACUUUGAGGAAACAAAAGUUUUAGAGAAAAAUUAAGAUCACACCAAAAGGCAAAAGUACUUAUAAGCUGAUCAACAUAAUUAAGAACUUUUGCUUAUAAACAUUUAACGUAAAAGCACAAAUUAGGUGAAGAAAGCAGAUGGAAAUGGGAUUACUUCAUAUGUAGAGGAGACAUGCUCAUGAAGAAGACGUGUGUGUGAUUGCUAUCCACAUUGUUUUCCACCCAUUGCGACCAUGUCGUCAAAACCCUCCGGUAAGCUAUUGCUCUCUCAAUCUCAUCAUACUCUAUCGCUCCGUCAUCGAAUGAUCCUCGUCUGUUUGGUAGGAAAAAUAAUGAGAAACGUAUAUUUAUAGUCGCUUAGACAAGAGGGGUUACUCUGAUGGUAAGAAACCCUCACUUCCAAUCGAGAGGUUGUGAGUUCGAGUCUUUCCAAGAGCAAGGUGGGAAGUUCUUGGAGNNNNNNNNNNNNNNNNNNNNNNNNNNNNNNNNNNNNNNNNNNNNNNNNNNNNNNNNNNNNNNNNNNNNNNNNNNNNNNNNNNNNNNNNNNNNNNNNNNNNNNNNNNNNNNNNNNNNNNNNNNNNNNNNNNNNNNNNNNNNNNNNNNNNNNNNNNNNNNNNNNNNNNNNNNNNNNNNNNNNNNNNNNNNNNNNNNNNNNNNNNNNNNNNNNNNNNNNNNNNNNNNNNNNNNNNNNNNNNNNNNNNNNNNNNNNNNNNNNNNNNNNNNNNNNNNNNNNNNNNNNNNNNNNGAAGGAUACCGGGGGUCUAUUUGAAAACAGCCUCUCUACCCAAGGGUAGGGGUAAAGUCUGCGUACACACUACCCUCCCCAAACCCCACUAAGUGGGAUGAUACUGGGUUAUUGUUGUUGUUGUAUAUUUAUAGUCGCUCCCAAAAGUAGUAGUACACAAAAUAUAUAUUGUAUAUACCUGUAUUAUAUGCUAAAAAUAUACACAUAUUUUAUAACUUUAAUUUUUGGCUAGUGAAUGCAAUUAGUUUCAGCCAACCGUUCAGUUUUAUAUUUUGCCCAAAAAUAUAGAAUACUGAAGAGGAAAAUAUGAAGCUGGAUUCUUUGUCUUACUUACAGAAUUUUCAUGGCAAAAGUAUUCAUCCACCAAAUGUAUGUGUUGAAGAUGAGAUAGUCCACAUUCUUCCAGUUGUUGC